CGGAGAAACGUGAAUUGCUUACGAGGUCGAAGACACGAUCUCGGCCGGCGGAUGGCGAGGAUUGUUCCCAUGGCGGCCACCUCCUCCAACUCGCACAUCCGACUCGCUGCGCUCCACUCGCCACUCUCCUCCAUCGCUGCCGCCGCCCGGUUCGCUCCCAGCCGUCUCAACUGCGCCCCACGCCCUAUACAUCUGGAACAUUUGUUUGGAAUAACAACUUCUAGAAUGAUAAGAAAAGCAAAUUGUAUAAAAGCCAGUGUCUCCGGCAACACGACGCAAGCAAGCACUGUUGAUAAAGAAAGCGCUUUUGAGUGGGUGAAAACGGAUAAUCGGAGAAUGCUUCAUGUUGUUUAUCGUGUUGGUGACUUGGAAAGGACAAUAAAAUUCUACACAGAAUGCUUGGGAAUGAAGUUGUUGCGGAAACGUGACAUUCCCGAGGAGAAGUACACUAAUGCCUUCCUUGGAUAUGGACCCGAAGACUCACAUUUUGUUGUUGAACUUACUUACAACUAUGGAGUUGACAAGUACGAUAUUGGAACUGGUUUUGGACACUUUGGUGUUGCAGUUGAAGAUGUUGCCAAGACAGUGGAUCUUAUAAAAGCUAAAGGAGGAAAGGUAACCAGGGAACCUGGCCCUGUAAAAGGUGGCAGAAGUGUGAUUGCUUUUAUCGAAGAUCCUGAUGGUUAUAAGUUUGAGCUUUUGGAAAGGGGCCCAACACCAGAACCCUUGUGUCAAGUGAUGCUUCGUGUAGGAGAUCUUGAUCGUUCCAUAAAUUUCUAUGAGAAGGCAUUUGGUAUGGAGCUUCUUCGCAAAAGAGACAAUCCUGAAUAUAAGUACACUAUAGCGAUGAUGGGAUACGGUCCUGAAGAUACAAACACCGUUUUGGAGUUGACCUACAACUAUGGAGUUACAGAAUAUGACAAAGGGAAUGCCUUCGCACAGAUUGCAAUUGGCACGGAUGAUGUUUACAAGACAGCAGAGGCCAUAAAACUGCAUGGAGGAACGAUCACCCGUGAACCAGGCCCCUUACCUGUCAUUAAUACUAAGAUAACUGCCUGCUUGGAUCCAGAUGGUUGGAAAACUGUCUUUGUUGACAAUGUAGAUUUUGUUAAAGAGCUGGAGUAUUAAGCCCUUGUUAUCGGACCUACAUCUCAAGGAGCAUCAGUUACUCGACGACAACGGCUGGCUGUCGCCUAACUAAUCUUGCAUGACUAUCCAGCAGUUGUGUGAUGCCUUGGAUGCAGAUCUUUCAUCACAUUUUCUGCAUUCAAAUUUGGAGCUGAGAUUUAUCUACAGGAUUGACACAAUAGUAUAUAGAAUUCCAAUAUUCUUUUCAGAACCAGCUUCAAUUUCUGUAAUUGAUCAUUUUUAUAUCUCA
RNA transcript from Musa acuminata AAA Group (dessert banana), 1378 nucleotides. It is a transcript of the gene named probable lactoylglutathione lyase, chloroplastic, with no coding region annotated. The transcript is spliced from 10 exons. Lineage: Eukaryota; Viridiplantae; Streptophyta; Magnoliopsida; Zingiberales; Musaceae. The record is from RefSeq and is a predicted model, not a curated record.